This 492-nucleotide ribosomal RNA is filed under the name uncultured bacterium. RNAcentral's name for it is "partial 16S ribosomal RNA". It matches the Rfam family "Bacterial small subunit ribosomal RNA", at positions 29 to 507 of the family's 1533-position model. The record is from RNAcentral.
AGUGAACGCUGGCGGUAGGCCUAACACAUGCAAGUCGAACGGCAGCACAGUAAGGGCUUGCUCUUACGGGUGGCGAGUGGCGGACGGGUGAGGAAUACAUCGGAAUCUACUUUUUCGUGGGGGAUAACGUAGGGAAACUUACGCUAAUACCGCAUACGACCUACGGGUGAAAGCAGGGGAUCUUCGGACCUUGCGCGAUUGAAUGAGCCGAUGUCGGAUUUGCUAGUUGGCGGGGUAAAGGCCCACCAAGGCGACGAUCCGUAGCUGGUCUGAGAGGAUGAUCAGCCACACUGGAACUGAGACACGGUCCAGACUCCUACGGGAGGCAGCAGUGGGGAAUAUUGGACAAUGGGCGCAAGCCUGAUCCAGCCAUACCGCGUGGGUGAAGAAGGCCUUCGGGUUGUAAAGCCCUUUUGUUGGGAAAGAAAAGCAGCAGGUUAAUACCCCGCUGUUCUGACGGUACCCAAAGAAUAAGCACCGGCUAACUUCGUG